RNAcentral lists this long non-coding RNA (586 nucleotides) under Sorghum bicolor (sorghum). Its description in RNAcentral is "long non-coding RNA (SBIC_LNC005067)". The record is from RNAcentral. Lineage: Eukaryota; Viridiplantae; Streptophyta; Magnoliopsida; Poales; Poaceae.
GGACCCUCCAUUUUCUCAGUUGUCCUGGGAUUCGUUGAGUGGCGUAGUCGGUGCUUCCGGCGGCGCCUCCUCUUCAUGUAUAGUUAUCUUCUCUCUCCAUACCUGACUCGGUGCUACGGUCUCCUCAGGAUAAUCUUAUUUAAAUUGUAUGUCUUCUAACCUUAUCACUUCUCUUUCAUAGUCUGCCCAUCCUUCCUUGAUGAUUUGCCUCCUCUGGUUGCGGUUGCGUCGUUUUCUUCUGACCUGCUUAGAGUCUUCAACGAUAUAGUUAGGGUCAGUAAAAUAGCGGCGUACCUUCUCUGAGGGAAAGUGCAUAUGGACUUCUCCAGUUCCAAUGUAGAUAAUUGCUUUAACGGUGCUGAGGAACGGUCUUCCAAGGAUGAUGGGUGGAUCAUAUUCGUCUUCUCCCAUGUCAAUAACCUGAAAGUCUGUAUAGACAAAAUUAUCGUCUAUUUUGAUAGGGACAUCAGUUACUAUACCUUUAACCUCUCAAAAUGUCUGAUCUGCCAUCUGAAGGUAAAUGUAUGUUGGUUUUAAGGGCAUGGUUCCGAACAAGAGUCGAUAGGUGACUGCGGCCAUUAUGUUG